Molecule: long non-coding RNA, 2244 nt
Filed under: Panax ginseng (ginseng)
Lineage: Eukaryota; Viridiplantae; Streptophyta; Magnoliopsida; Apiales; Araliaceae
Description: long non-coding RNA (PGIN_LNC013242)
Source: RNAcentral
UCAAGAAGUGGUUAAAAAAAAACAGCAACAAAGCUAUUUCUCCUAUUGACAACUCCACCCGGCACCUUCUCUCUUGAAAUUCCAAUCCCUCAUUUUGGCCAAGAGCAAGGAAGGUUUGAGAUUUUCUGUUUGAAGUUAGUCAGCUGGACUUCUGUUCAAAGGCUAGCAAAAGCUAGCCUUUAGCUAAUGUUUAAAUUCCUAAGUAAUUUAACAGAGGUAUCAUAACCCAUCUCUUCUAUAUUUAUGAAGAUGAAAUUUUGUUUGCAAGGCAUGUUAGCUAAAUUGAAAUGAAAACAAAUAACCCUAUGGGUUGAAUAGCUAUGUAUGAUUAGUUUGAGAUAUUGGUGAUUAGUCAUAGUGUUCUGUUUAAUAUAGAUGAAUAUGUAAUGUUACAUAUUACUUUUGAAUCAGAGAAAUUGAAAUAUUUCCUAAUCAAACGAAUUAAAUUUCAAGGAAAUUGAACUUUUGGAAAUGAAAGAAACUAAUUAGUGACUAAGGUUAUGGCUUUGCGUAUUUUUAGUUGCUUAUAGAACUGUUAUGGACUGAAUUUAGGCACAAGGAGAUAGGUUAGGCUGAGGAGUAAUAAGGAGGCUAACAUGGAUUUAUAGUACAGUAAAUAGCUAUGAAUCAUGUAGUAUAAAACAGUGAGCACAAGGUGUUCCAUAAAAGUUCUAAAAGAACUGUUUUGGCUAAAAAUUAAAUUUUAGACCAAACUAAAGAUUGAGUUAUGUAUAUACACCAUACAUGUCAUUAAGAAAGGUGUUAUAGCAUAUUAGAAUGAAACAAACUUCUAUAUUAAGCCAAAGUGAAAGUUAAAUCAUGAUAUGUCAAGCUAUUUUGACAAACUGUUUUGGACAGUUAAAGGAACUUAAAGAUCAAGUCUAAUAUGGUACCUUCACCAUUUCCAAAUUUGGGCCUAAACGAAUAUAAUAGGUAUCAAAGGUUACAAGGUAUUGAAAAGGGGAGGGUUGAGAUUGGAAAAGAGACUGCCGAGGCUGCUGCAGGCAGUAGCAGCCAGCGUGCUCAGCGCUGCAGAGCCCGACACUCGGUCGAUCGCGAGCCCGGUUUGUAAAUGUAAUUCAAUGACUGCAAUUUGUGGGUUAACUUAGAAGGUGGGUAUAUCAUUUAUAAAUUUCUGGAAAUAAGUUGUAAAUAAACUACCUAAUAUGAAGCCAAAAAUGGCCUGAGAUGAGGAGCACAGCUGCUGCCCAUUGGCAGCAGCAUUUCGCUGCAAACAGCAGCAGGAAGCGUGUCGCAGCAGCAAAAACAGUGGCCUUGAGUGGCACUAGCAGUUUUUUUUUCUCUUGGCCUAACUGGUAGGUAAGAAUAUCAAGAGUUGUGUCACAAGUAACAUGUCAAAACUUCACAUGGAACUAGGGAAUACAUUUUUUUUCAAAGCAAGGGUAAUGGAUGCUGCCAUUGGCAGUAGCAGUGGGGCUGGAAACAACAACAAAAAAGCUGCUACUGUAGCAUUGUGGAACCCUCUUUUGUUUCCAAAUUUAGUCUAAUAGCUUACCUUUAUGAAUAUUUUUCGAGCGAGGAUUGCGGAAGACGUCCACAUGUUGACUGGACCAACCCAUAGAGGAUUUCCUUUGAUGGUGGGGUAGAGCAACAUGCUGGUAGUUUCUUCCAAGAAUAAACACAAUCCUAAUAAAAUGGAGAUUUGUCGGGCUAAACUUCUCGAGCUCUCGGCAAGUUUUCUUUUUUGGGUCAAAUGUCAAAUAAUAUAUUAAUCAACAUCACAAUAUCAUAAUCCUUUUUGAAUGUCUACCUUCAUUGCACUCUUUUGAAUGUUCAUUAAGCUAUUUUGAUUUAAUUAACGUUCUAUCUUUUUUUUCGUGUUAGUUCGAGUGGAGGCUUUUCAAUAGGUUUGAGGCAAGUUUCUUAUUUCAAAAGCCUGAUCUCUGUCCCUUCAAGUUCGGGAAGACGGAGGAUCAGGUUAUCCCUCGGAAUGAUAUUUUUGUUCCUUACCACAAGGAUAGGAAAAGUAAUAAAACAACUGAUUAUAGAAUAAUCUGCCGUAAGGAACUCAAUGAUUGGGAAACAAGACGUUCAAAACUUGUUUUCAAAUUGAAGAUGGUAAUGUGUAUUUUAGAUGUUUUCUGUUUUAAGCUAAUUCAUUUAUACCUUUUUACUUGUUUUAUUUGUUUAACUCAUUAGCUCAUUUAUGAUUGACACAGUCCACGGAGGAAAUUCACAACGAGGGAGAAUCUGGUCUUGAAGCAACCAAUACUCAUGUGCAAG